CAGCAGCCACGGGAAUACGGAGGGAGCUAGCGUUGUUCGGAAUUACUGGGCGUAAAGCGCGCGUAGGCGGUUACUCAAGUCAGAGGUGAAAGCCCGGGGCUCAACCCCGGAACUGCCUUUGAAACUAGGUGACUAGAAUCUUGGAGAGGUCAGUGGAAUUCCGAGUGUAGAGGUGAAAUUUGUAGAUAUUCGGAAGAACACCAGUGGCGAAGGCGACUGACUGGACAAGUAUUGACGCUGAGGUGCGAAAGCGUGGGGAGCAAACAGGAUUAGAUACCCCCGUAGUCCCUGUCUCUUAUAC
RNAcentral lists this ribosomal RNA (301 nucleotides) under uncultured bacterium. Its description in RNAcentral is "partial 16S ribosomal RNA". It matches the Rfam family "Bacterial small subunit ribosomal RNA", at positions 509 to 807 of the family's 1533-position model. The record is from RNAcentral.